Non-coding RNA from Pelobates cultripes (western spadefoot toad), 220 nucleotides. The record is from the annotation of a GenBank genome assembly. Lineage: Eukaryota; Metazoa; Chordata; Amphibia; Anura; Pelobatidae.
UAGAUAACCUCAUGCCAAUCGCACAUCCCCGUGACAGCAACUACGCAUUUGGAUGUCUGUCCUAUCAACUUUCUAUGGUACUUUCUACGCCUACCAUGGUGACCACGGGUAACGGUGAAUCAGGGUUCGAUUCCAGAGAGGGAGCCUGAGAAACGGCUACCACAUCAAAGGAAGGCAGCAGACGCGCAAAUUACCCACUCCCGAUGCGGGGAGAAGGUGA